UGAACUCAUUGGCUGCAACAGACCAAACUUCGGGCAAUUUACUAAAUGUAGAGGUUGACUCAGGAUCCACUCCUAGGGAUAGACCUGAGGCUGAGGGACCUCAGUCGAAGGUUCCGAAGAAUCAAUAGGUAGUUUUUUGCUGAGAUUCAUUUAUGUGUGAUCUUUUACAUAUAUAUUUAUGUUUUAUUACAUUUCAUGAGUUUGUAGUUCACUGUCAUUGAAUAGUUGGUCCUUUCUUUUUCAGGUCAAGUUGUCUUUAUGUGUAUUUAUGUGUUUGACAUGCAAAAGAAUCCAAGGGCUGUCUUGAAAUGAGGGUAGCAGAUUGGAAAAAGGUGGGCCAUACUUUUUUGCUUCAUGCUUUGUUUGCUAAUGAACUUGGAGAUCUAGGAAUGUCUGAUGGUUUGAACUAUGAGAACCAAAUUGCUGUUAGAUUCUUGAUUUUGAUGUUCGAAAGUUUGCUAUAUCAGUUGCUGGCAGAUUGUUUGAAAAGAAUCCAGCAUAUGUUCUGCCUGCACUUCGUCGCCAUCUCAUACAAUUGUUGAUGCAUCUUGAGCAAAGUGCAGAUAGCAAAUGCAGAGAAGAAAGUGCUAAACUCUUGGGUUGCCUAAUUCGCAGCCUAAUGUUGUAUUAGAUGUAAUCGAAAAUCAAAAGUAGCCUUCAUAUACGGAGAUGGGUAGCUACGAUGCAAUGAUUAUGCAGAAUCUUGCUUCCAUGCAGCAGUUAGAACGUGAGCUUGAGGCCAUCUCUGCCAUUGAUUACCGGGGAAUUAUGUUAUUCCUAGUGAAGAAGUUCUUGUUGGUCUGUAUUGAUUUAAUUUAAUCGCUUCAUUGAGUUUGAGUUUAAAUGUUGUUGGUGGGUAUCUUCCUUUGGCAGGAAAGUUCGGAGGAUCUAGCAGGUAAAGAUGCCCAAGAGAAAUUUGAUGCUGCUAUAGAAACCCUUUUACAAGAGCUUCCAGAUGAAAGAAAUGUCAAUAAAAGACCGGAUGAUUCAAAACAGAUACAGGAAAAGUCAAAGAAAAAGAAAAAGA
Magnolia sinica is the source of this 1027-nucleotide long non-coding RNA. RefSeq lists it as uncharacterized. The transcript has 4 exons. The record is from RefSeq and is a predicted model, not a curated record. Lineage: Eukaryota; Viridiplantae; Streptophyta; Magnoliopsida; Magnoliales; Magnoliaceae.